UACAAGAAAUGCCUUCUCUGGUGAUUUGUAUCUCCUUUCCCUCCCUUCUCUUCCAGGUGUUCCAUGCUGGGGUGUGUCAUUCCUAAUUCAAUGUGAUCAGCAUGUACCGACAUUGAGAUCUGGCUGCUAUCAAGGUGGCUUGCCUUUGUUGGUGCUGAUGUAUGUUUAGAAUAGCAUGUGAAUCUUAAGAUACUGAGACAGCCCUGGAGACAUGAGCUCUGGGUCCGCCAUGCUACUGACUUGAUGUCAUCACUUAAUAUCCUCAAGUUCUUAUCUGUAAAAGGCAAAAUGUGGCCAAAGUCCCACCUAGCUCUUAACAGUCUUUGAAUCUGUGACUUCACCAAGAGUGAACCAACUAUGCUGUGCUUGUUGAAGGUGCUGGGUCUGCCGCCAGCCCACUUCAUUCAGAUGGCCUCCAGGAGACAGAAGUUCUUUGGUAAGUCCCCAAGUCUAAUCUCUUUAUCUCAUUGUGUCUAAUGAGGUGUCACAGGUCUUGAAGGUACUUCCCAUACCCUAAAUCUCAUAUUUUGCUUUUCUCCUGUCCCCAUACCAAAGGGCAGGAUGUGGUUUAGGAGCUUACAGGCAAUGAAAAGUGGUCCCAGAUGGCAUGCUGGAGAUGAGAUGGGUGAAAUCACAAGGGGAAUGGGUUCUUGGCAAUACAAAUGCAUUGGAGCAGGAGAAUGAUCAGGUUCCCACUCAGAAGACCAGUGAGAGAAGAGGGCUGUGGCUGCCUCAUCCCUGCAGUUGGCCCUUGCUCUGGAACACCCGACACAAGGCUGUUGAAGGCCCUGGUUCCUUGAACUGUUUUUUGUUACUGUUUGCAGUCAGUCACUUGCAAGCCAUCAUUUUACUUCCAACUGACUUAUAAAACUCUUUUUCUAUAAAGUAUAUUUAAUUUAUAUUUGAUGACUUAAAGAUGAUCAGUUAGUAAAGCUGUGCAUAGCCAAACUGCCCUUUCUUAUUCUACCUCUGUUAGCAAUUACUUUUUGUUAAAUGUUAGUCAUUGAUUUAGACAUUAAAAAAGCAAAGCAGUAUUAAAUUAUCUGCAAUUUAAUAUUUUUAUAAAGAUAUAUGUAAUUGCUAUAUUACUGUGAUAUUGGUUCCUAGGUAUUGGGGUGGUCAACUGCGGGGAGCCUUUGCAACCAGGAUGCUCUAUAUAUAAACAAAAAAUGUAUCAGGAGUUGGCUAUUUUACAAGUGUUUUUAUUUUUGUUUUAUUUUGUAUCAGAAAUUGAACCCAGGGGUGCUUAACCUUUGAGCCACAUCCCCAGCCCUUUUUAUAUUUUAUUUUGAGACAGGAUCUUGCUAAGUUGCUAAGGGCCUCGCUAAGUUGCUUAGGGUCUUGCUAAGUUGCUGAUACUGGCUUUGAACUAAUGAUCACCCUGCCUCAACUGUCCAGGUUGCUAAUUUUAAAGGCAUGCACCCUGUGCCUGGCCUUAUGAGUGUUUUUCCACUCAAACUGUCUACUGAAAGUCCCUAUAUUAC
Molecule: long non-coding RNA, 1484 nt
Filed under: Marmota monax (woodchuck)
Lineage: Eukaryota; Metazoa; Chordata; Mammalia; Rodentia; Sciuridae
Source: RNAcentral